GUCGGACGGCAGCAUGAAAGAGCUUGCUCUUUUGAUGGCGAGUGGCGAACGGGUGAGUAAUGCAUCGGAACGUACCGAGUAGUGGGGGAUAACUGUCCGAAAGGAUGGCUAAUACCGCAUAUUCUCUGAGGAGGAAAGCAGGGGACCUUAGGGCCUUGCGCUAUUUGAGCGGCCGAUGUCUGAUUAGCUGGUUGGUGGGGUAAGAGCCCACCAAGGCGACGAUCAGUAGCGGGUCUGAGAGGAUGAUCCGCCACACUGGGACUGAGACACGGCCCAGACUCCUACGGGAGGCAGCAGUGGGGAAUUUUGGACAAUGGGCGCAAGCCUGAUCCAGCCAUGCCGCGUGUAUGAAGAAGGCCUUCGGGUUGUAAAGUACUUUUGUCAGGGAAGAAAAGCCUGGGGAUAACACCCCUGGGUCAUGACGGUACCUGAAGAAUAAGCACCGGCUAACUACGUGCCAGCAGCCGCGGUAAUACGUAGGGUGCGAGCGUUAAUCGGAAUUACUGGGCGUAAAGCGAGCGCAGACGGUUAUUUAAGCAAGAUGUGAAAGCCCCGGGCUCAACCUGGGAACUGCGUUUUGAACUGGGUAACUAGAGUGUGUCAGAGGGGGGUAGAAUUCCACGUGUAGCAGUGAAAUGCGUAGAGAUGUGGAGGAAUACCGAUGGCGAAGGCAGCCCCCUGGGAUAACACUGACGUUCAUGCUCGAAAGCGUGGGUAGCAAAACAGGAUUAGAUACCCUGGUAGUCCACGCCCUAAACGAUGUCAAUUUAGCUGUUUGGGGUACAUGAUGCCUUAGUAGCGUUAGCUAACGCGGUGAAAUUGACCGCCUGGGGGAGUACGGUCGCAAGAUUAAAACUCAAAGGAAUUUGACGGGGACCCGCACAAGCCGGGGGAUGAUGUGGAUUAUUUCGAUGCAACGCGAAGAAACCUUACCUGGGUCUUGACAUUGUACCGGAAUCUCUUUAGAGA
RNAcentral lists this ribosomal RNA (969 nucleotides) under Neisseria sp. RNAcentral describes it as "bacterial SSU rRNA". It matches the Rfam family "Bacterial small subunit ribosomal RNA", at positions 61 to 1008 of the family's 1533-position model. The record is from RNAcentral. Lineage: Bacteria; Pseudomonadati; Pseudomonadota; Betaproteobacteria; Neisseriales; Neisseriaceae.